RNAcentral lists this ribosomal RNA (1401 nucleotides) under Staphylococcus saprophyticus. Its description in RNAcentral is "bacterial SSU rRNA". It matches the Rfam family "Bacterial small subunit ribosomal RNA". Lineage: Bacteria; Bacillati; Bacillota; Bacilli; Caryophanales; Staphylococcaceae. The record is from RNAcentral.
AGCUUGCUCCUUUGACGUUAGCGGCGGACGGGUGAGUAACACGUGGGUAACCUACCUAUAAGACUGGGAUAACUUCGGGAAACCGGAGCUAAUACCGGAUAACAUUUGGAACCGCAUGGUUCUAAAGUGAAAGAUGGUUUUGCUAUCACUUAUAGAUGGACCCGCGCCGUAUUAGCUAGUUGGUAAGGUAACGGCUUACCAAGGCGACGAUACGUAGCCGACCUGAGAGGGUGAUCGGCCACACUGGAACUGAGACACGGUCCAGACUCCUACGGGAGGCAGCAGUAGGGAAUCUUCCGCAAUGGGCGAAAGCCUGACGGAGCAACGCCGCGUGAGUGAUGAAGGGUUUCGGCUCGUAAAACUCUGUUAUUAGGGAAGAACAAAUGUGUAAGUAACUGUGCACGUCUUGACGGUACCUAAUCAGAAAGCCACGGCUAACUACGUGCCAGCAGCCGCGGUAAUACGUAGGUGGCAAGCGUUAUCCGGAAUUAUUGGGCGUAAAGCGCGCGUAGGCGGUUUCUUAAGUCUGAUGUGAAAGCCCACGGCUCAACCGUGGAGGGUCAUUGGAAACUGGGAAACUUGAGUGCAGAAGAGGAAAGUGGAAUUCCAUGUGUAGCGGUGAAAUGCGCAGAGAUAUGGAGGAACACCAGUGGCGAAGGCGACUUUCUGGUCUGUAACUGACGCUGAUGUGCGAAAGCGUGGGGAUCAAACAGGAUUAGAUACCCUGGUAGUCCACGCCGUAAACGAUGAGUGCUAAGUGUUAGGGGGUUUCCGCCCCUUAGUGCUGCAGCUAACGCAUUAAGCACUCCGCCUGGGGAGUACGACCGCAAGGUUGAAACUCAAAGGAAUUGACGGGGACCCGCACAAGCGGUGGAGCAUGUGGUUUAAUUCGAAGCAACGCGAAGAACCUUACCAAAUCUUGACAUCCUUUGAAAACUCUAGAGAUAGAGCCUUCCCCUUCGGGGGACAAAGUGACAGGUGGUGCAUGGUUGUCGUCAGCUCGUGUCGUGAGAUGUUGGGUUAAGUCCCGCAACGAGCGCAACCCUUAAGCUUAGUUGCCAUCAUUAAGUUGGGCACUCUAGGUUGACUGCCGGUGACAAACCGGAGGAAGGUGGGGAUGACGUCAAAUCAUCAUGCCCCUUAUGAUUUGGGCUACACACGUGCUACAAUGGACAAUACAAAGGGCAGCUAAACCGCGAGGUCAUGCAAAUCCCAUAAAGUUGUUCUCAGUUCGGAUUGUAGUCUGCAACUCGACUACAUGAAGCUGGAAUCGCUAGUAAUCGUAGAUCAGCAUGCUACGGUGAAUACGUUCCCGGGUCUUGUACACACCGCCCGUCACACCACGAGAGUUUGUAACACCCGAAGCCGGUGGAGUAACCAUUUAUGGAGCUAGCCGUCGAA